This 253-nucleotide ribosomal RNA is filed under the name uncultured bacterium. Its description in RNAcentral is "partial 16S ribosomal RNA". It matches the Rfam family "Bacterial small subunit ribosomal RNA", at positions 524 to 776 of the family's 1533-position model. The record is from RNAcentral.
UACGGGGGGAGCAAGCGUUGUCCGGAUUUACUGGGCGUAAAGAGCGCGCAGGCGGUCGAUUUAGUCGUGUGUGAAAGCCCCCGGCUCAACUGGGGAGGGUCACGCGAUACUGAUCGACUAGAAGGCAGGAGAGGGUAGUGGAAUUCCCGGUGUAGUGGUGAAAUGCGUAGAUAUCGUGAGGAACACCAGAGGCGAAGGCGGUUACCUGGACAGUUACUGACGCUCAGGCACGAAAGCAUGGGGAGCAAAAGGG